This 88-nucleotide transfer RNA is filed under the name Fidelibacterota bacterium. RNAcentral describes it as "tRNA-Ser". It matches the Rfam family "tRNA". Rfam says of the family: Transfer RNA (tRNA) molecules are approximately 80 nucleotides in length. Their secondary structure includes four short double-helical elements and three loops (D, anti-codon, and T loops). Further hydrogen bonds mediate the characteristic L-shaped molecular structure. tRNAs have two regions of fundamental functional importance: the anti-codon, which is responsible for specific mRNA codon recognition, and the 3' end, to which the tRNAs corresponding amino acid is attached (by aminoacyl-tRNA synthetases). tRNAs cope with the degeneracy of the genetic code in two manners: having more than one tRNA (with a specific anti-codon) for a particular amino acid; and 'wobble' base-pairing, i.e. permitting non-standard base-pairing at the 3rd anti-codon position. Lineage: Bacteria; Pseudomonadati; Fidelibacterota. The record is from RNAcentral. RNAcentral also lists the same sequence under 1 other name.
GGAGAGAUGCCAGAGCGGUUGAAUGGGACGGUCUCGAAAACCGUUGUAGUCCUAGUGGCUACCGUGGGUUCGAAUCCCACUCUCUCCG